CAAGAUGUUCUCCCUCAAGAAGUGGAACGCGGUGGCCAUGUGGAGCUGGGACGUGGAGUGCGAUACGUGCGCCAUCUGCAGGGUCCAGGUGAUGGAUGCCUGUCUUAGAUGUCAAGCUGAAAACAAACAAGAGGACUGUUGGUCUGGGGAGAAUGUAAUCAUUCCUUCCACAACUGCUGCAUGUCCCUGUGGGUGAAACAGAACAAUCGCUGCCCUCUCUGCCAGCAGGACUGGGUGGUCCAAAGAAUCGGCAAAUGAGAGUGCAAAACCACAGUCCCGCCACCUAACAAAGCCCUGUUUAUGCCACACACCAGCAUCUGAGGGAAGAGGAGGCACUGUGACAAAGCAGCGCUGAUGCUGCUCAGCCUGCGAUGAUUACAGCUCAUCUGCACAGCCAUCUGAAAGUUUAAUACAUACUCAUCAGAGGGAACAUGCCGGGACAAUUUUGGGUUCCAAUACAAAAGUUAAGCAUCAAACAGGUUUUUCUUUCCAUUUGAUUAAAUGUGCUGAUUUUAUUUUACUGUUGCAUUAGAAACAAACAAGUUAUCUUUCGCUAUUUAAUUUUCCCUCUAUGCAAAUUGUGUUAUUACAGCUGACCGCUAUCAGUAAAUCUUAAUUCUGUCAGUCCCAUUGCUUCCUUUUUUAUAAAAAUACUGUGUCCCCCUUUACUGUCAUGAAGUGAAAUUCAUAAAUAUAUUUCCUACACAUAUAAUUUAAAUGUAUGUAAUUGUUAUAUGACAGAACUAAAAAGAACUUGUAAUUCAGUUGUAUUUCAAUAUAGAAAUGCUUGGACAUGGAUGGGCACGUUGGCUCACGCUGUAAUCCAAGCACUUUGGGAGGCCAAGGUGGGUGGAUUGCCUGAGGUCAGGUGUUCGAGACCAGCCUAGCCAACACGGUGAAGUCCUGUCUCUAACAAAAAUUGGCCGGGUGUGGUAGCAGGUGCCUGUAAUCCCAGCUACUCGGGAGGCUGAGGCAGUAGAAUCGCUUGAACCCACGAGGCAGAGAUUGCAGUGAGCCGAGAUCGCACCACUGCACUCCAGCCUGGGCAAUGAGCGA
Molecule: long non-coding RNA, 1056 nt
Filed under: Homo sapiens (human)
Lineage: Eukaryota; Metazoa; Chordata; Mammalia; Primates; Hominidae
Description: HSALNT0061401
Source: RNAcentral